Pelobates cultripes (western spadefoot toad) is the source of this 528-nucleotide non-coding RNA. NCBI's taxonomy places the organism in Eukaryota, Metazoa, Chordata, Amphibia, Anura, Pelobatidae. The record is from the annotation of a GenBank genome assembly.
GCCACAACCAAUGAAGAAACAUGUUCAAUCGGGCGGAAAUAAAAAUCACGGAACGUAGAUUCCUUAGACCAAUCUGCCGCUUUCAAGAUAUCGUCCAGGCGACAUCCUAUCGUAGAAGCCUUUGAUGCCAUGGCACCCCUAACUGAAUGAGCUGAAAAAAAUCGAAGUAUUGAUACCCGCAGCCGAGAGGAGGUCUUUAACCCAGCGGGCAAGCGUCGGCGACGAGACCGGUAGAAACGGUGCUUUCAAGGAGAUAAAGAGUGGAGGCAAGUCAGUUGACCUCAGCAGCCGGGUACGAUCCAAAUAAGCCUGGAGACAAGCCACAGGACACAAAGCAGGUCUGAUGGAGCAUCUAGGGUAGUCCACCGACUUGGAAGCCGACUUAGUCCUCCUCGAGAUAUUAAACGACACACCUCCGGGGGUGAACGAGACCGCGUUCCAGUCCAGAGCCCUGACGUCCAACACCCUUUUACACGAAAGUAGACACAGAAGCAUGACCAGUUUCCAUGAUAACUGUUUGAGUGUCAA